This 341-nucleotide ribosomal RNA is filed under the name uncultured Mesorhizobium sp. RNAcentral's name for it is "bacterial SSU rRNA". It matches the Rfam family "Bacterial small subunit ribosomal RNA", at positions 505 to 848 of the family's 1533-position model. The record is from RNAcentral. Lineage: Bacteria; Pseudomonadati; Pseudomonadota; Alphaproteobacteria; Hyphomicrobiales; Phyllobacteriaceae.
GUGCCCGCCGCAGCGGUAAUACGAAGGGGGCUAGCGUUGUUCGGAAUUACUGGGCGUAAAGCGCACGUAGGCGGAUUGUUAAGUGAGGGGUGAAAUCCCAGGGCUCAACCCUGGAACUGCCUCUCAUACUGGCAAUCUAGAGUUCGAGAGAGGUGAGUGGAAUUCCGAGUGUAGAGGUGAAAUUCGUAGAUAUUCGGAGGAACACCAGUGGCGAAGGCGGCUCACUGGCUCGAUACUGACGCUGAGGUGCGAAAGCGUGGGAGCAAACAGGAUUAGAUACCCUGGUAGUCCACGCCGUAACGAUGGAAGCUAGCCGUUGGCAAGUUUACUUGUCGGUGGCG